This 429-nucleotide ribosomal RNA is filed under the name Pseudomonadota bacterium. Its description in RNAcentral is "Proteobacteria bacterium partial 16S ribosomal RNA". It matches the Rfam family "Bacterial small subunit ribosomal RNA", at positions 355 to 776 of the family's 1533-position model. Lineage: Bacteria; Pseudomonadati; Pseudomonadota. The record is from RNAcentral.
UGGGGAAUAUUGGACAAUGGGCGAAAGCCUGAUCCAGCCAUGCCGCGUGUGUGAAGAAGGUCUUCGGAUUGUAAAGCACUUUAAGUUGGGAGGAAGGGCAGUAAGCGAAUACCUUGCUGUUUUGACGUUACCGACAGAAUAAGCACCGGCUAACUCUGUGCCAGCAGCCGCGGUAAUACAGAGGGUGCAAGCGUUAAUCGGAAUUACUGGGCGUAAAGCGCGCGUAGGUGGUUCGUUAAGUUGAAUGUGAAAGCCCCGGGCUCAACCUGGGAACUGCAUCCAAAACUGGCGAGCUGGAGUAGGGCAGAGGGUGGUGGAAUUUCCUGUGUAGCGGUGAAAUGCGUAGAUAUAGGAAGGAACAACAGUGGCGAAGGCGACCACCUGGGCUCAUACUGACACUGAGGUGCGAAAGAGUGGGGAGCAAACAGG